This 440-nucleotide unclassified non-coding RNA is filed under the name Hevea brasiliensis (rubber tree). Lineage: Eukaryota; Viridiplantae; Streptophyta; Magnoliopsida; Malpighiales; Euphorbiaceae. The record is from RNAcentral.
CUCUGCUCUUCUACUUAAAUGGAACAAAGAUCCACCGAUGCCCAUCACGCUGCUCCUCCACGGUAUCGCGGCAUUCGCCAGCGAAAAUGGGGGAAAUGGGUGUCUGAAAUCCGGGAGCCUGGUACGAAAAAGCGCAUUUGGCUUGGGAGUUAUGAAUUGCCGGAGAUGGCAGCUGCUGCAUAUGAUGUUGCUGCAUUGCACUUCAGGGGACCUGGAGUUCACCUCAACUUCCCUGAACUUGCUGAUAGUUUUCCUAGGCCUAAGAGUUCUACAGCAGAGGAUGUGCAAAUGGCGGCUCAAGAGGCUGCUUUACGGUUUAGGAAUAGAAGACCGAUGAUGAAACGUUCAGAAGCAGUGGAUGGCUCUGGUGGUGGCGGUGGCUGCGGCGGCAGCUGUAGCGGCGGGGGUUUGGGUCCUGUAAGAAUUGGGCUUUCGCCGAG